UACGUAGGGGGCAAGCGUUGUCCGGAUUCAUUGGGCGUAAAGAGCGUGUAGGCGGCCCAGGUAGGUCGGUUGUGAAAACUGGAGGCUCAACCUUCAGAGGUCGACCGAAACCAUCUGGCUAGAGUCCGGGAGAGGAGAGUGGAAUUCCUGGUGUAGCGGUGAAAUGCGCAGAUAUCAGGAAGAACACCCGUGGCGAAAGCGGCUCUCUGGAACGGUACUGACGCUGAGACGCGAAAGCGUGGGGAGCGAACAGG
This 254-nucleotide ribosomal RNA is filed under the name uncultured bacterium. RNAcentral describes it as "partial 16S ribosomal RNA". It matches the Rfam family "Bacterial small subunit ribosomal RNA", at positions 524 to 776 of the family's 1533-position model. The record is from RNAcentral.